RNAcentral lists this ribosomal RNA (1280 nucleotides) under metagenome. RNAcentral's name for it is "bacterial LSU rRNA". It matches the Rfam family "Bacterial large subunit ribosomal RNA", at positions 1649 to 2925 of the family's 2925-position model. The record is from RNAcentral.
UACCCUACUGGUGCGCGAGAUGAGUAUUCUAAGGCGCUUGAGAGAACUCAGGAGAAGGAACUCGGCAAAUUGACACCGUAACUUCGGAAGAAGGUGUGCCUUUAGUAGGUGAACCUGUACAAGGGGAGCCCAAUGAGGUUGCAAAAAAUCGGUGGCUGCGACUGUUUAAUAAAAACACAGCACUCUGCAAACACGAAAGUGGACGUAUAGGGUGUGACGCCUGCCCGGUGCUGGAAGAUUAAAUGAUGGGGUGCAAGCUCUUGAUUGAAGUCCCAGUAAACGGCGGCCGUAACAAUAACGGUCCUAAGGUAGCGAAAUUCCUUGUCGGGUAAGUUCCGACCUGCACGAAUGGCGUAACGAUGGCCACACUGUCUCCUCCUGAGACUCAGCGAAGUUGAAAUGUUUGUGAUGAUGCAAUCUCCCCGCGGAAAGACGGAAAGACCCCAUGAACCUUUACUGUAGCUUUGUAUUGGACUUUGAACAGAUCUGUGUAGGAUAGGUGGGAGGCUUUGAAGUGUGGUCGCUAGAUCGCAUGGAGCCAACGUUGAAAUACCACCCUGGUGUGUUUGAGGUUCUAACCUAGGCCCGUAAUCCGGGUCGGGGACAGUGCAUGGUAGGCAGUUUGACUGGGGCGGUCUCCUCCCAAAGCGUAACGGAGGAGUUCGAAGGUACGCUAGGUACGGUCGGACAUCGUGCUAAUAGUGCAAUGGCAUAAGCGUGCUUAACUGCGAGACUGACAAGUCGAGCAGAUGCGAAAGCAGGACAUAGUGAUCCGGUGGUUCUGUAUGGAAGGGCCAUCGCUCAACGGAUAAAAGGUACUCUGGGGAUAACAGGCUGAUACCGCCCAAGAGUUCAUAUCGACGGCGGUGUUUGGCACCUCGAUGUCGGCUCAUCUCAUCCUGGGGCUGUAGCCGGUCCCAAGGGUAUGGCUGUUCGCCAUUUAAAGAGGUACGUGAGCUGGGUUUAAAACGUCGUGAGACAGUUUGGUCCCUAUCUUCCGUGGGCGCUGCAGAUUUGAGGAAGCCUGCUCCUAGUACGAGAGGACCGGAGUGGACACACCUCUGGUGUAUCGGUUGUCACGCCAGUGGCAUUGCCGAGUAGCUAUGUGUGGAAGAGAUAACCGCUGAAAGCAUCUAAGCGGGAAACUCGUUUCAAGAUGAGAUCUGCCGGGGCCUUGAGCCCCCUAAAGAGUCGUUCAAGACCAGGACGUUGAUAGGUCGGGUGUGGAAGCGCAGUAAUGCGUUAAGCUAACCGAUACUAAUUGCUCGUGCGGCUUGAUC